RNAcentral lists this microRNA precursor (172 nucleotides) under Prunus dulcis (almond). RNAcentral's name for it is "sRNA ncRNA". Lineage: Eukaryota; Viridiplantae; Streptophyta; Magnoliopsida; Rosales; Rosaceae. The record is from RNAcentral.
GAAUGGGAGUAAGGAUGAGAUUGAGAGAGAAGAUGAGAGGAAUGAGUAACAAAAGUGAAAACAAAAACUUGAAAUAGAUUUCAGUAUUUAGUUUUUGUUUUCACUUUUGUUACUCCUCCCUUCCAUCCUCUCCUCUCAUCUUCCCUCUCAAUCUCAUUUCCACUUUCAUUCU